Molecule: long non-coding RNA, 508 nt
Filed under: Homo sapiens (human)
Lineage: Eukaryota; Metazoa; Chordata; Mammalia; Primates; Hominidae
Description: long non-coding RNA NONHSAT229528
Source: RNAcentral
GUGUGUAUGUGAGUGUGAGAGUGGUACUGUGUCUGUGGCCUCUGUGUGAGUGGGAGUGUGCGUGUGUGUGUUUGCAUGUGUGUGUGUGCUUAUGAGUGCUGCCAUGUGUCUGCUGCCUCUGUGUGAGUGGGGGUGUGCAUGUGUGUGUUUGCGUGUGUGUGUGCUUGUGAGUGCUGCUGUGUGUCUGCUGCCUCCAUGUGAGUGGGAGUGAGCGCUGGAGCAUCUGAACUCCUGGUCCCCCCAGCGGGGACUCUCCCGCCUCCUGUUGGAGGACGCCGGAUGGGUGCUCCCCUGGGAGGGAUGAGGCAGCCUGUCUCCAGCCCUGCUUGCACCAGUGCAUGCACAUGGACCCCCUCAACCUUCCCUGAAGUCCAGAAGGGAGGCCUUGCUAGGGAUCCUGUGGUUCCCCUUCCACAGAUCUCAGGGCUCCUGGAAAGCCCAGGAAAUUCGAGCACACCAAGGAACAGACUGUGCCCCCUCUGCUUUCCAGGCCUCCAUGCAUUAUCCU